RNAcentral lists this transfer-messenger RNA (374 nucleotides) under Burkholderiaceae bacterium. It matches the Rfam family "transfer-messenger RNA". Rfam says of the family: Bacterial tmRNA, also known as 10Sa RNA or SsrA, is named for its dual tRNA and mRNA-like properties. Its role is to liberate the mRNA from a stalled ribosome. Lineage: Bacteria; Pseudomonadati; Pseudomonadota; Betaproteobacteria; Burkholderiales; Burkholderiaceae. RNAcentral also lists the same sequence under 1 other name. The record is from RNAcentral.
GGGGCUGCACUGGUUUCGACGUGGGUUCGGAAGCGUAGUGGGGCGUGCCGAGGUUCAGUCACCUCGUUAAUCCGCUGAAAAAAACUAACUGCAAACGACGAACGUUUCGCACUCGCGGCUUAAGCUGUGAGACUUGCAACAGCAUGCUGACGGGCUGGGCAAGGGGGUAGCAAUACCUCCCGGCUGCAAGGGAAUUCACGUUGGCUGGCACGUAAUUGGGUUACUUAGUUACGGGCGAGAUUUUAGGUAACUGGCGUCUUGGGUAGCGUGUUGCUGCGCGACUCAAGAAGUGAGAUCCAAAUCAGACGACUACGCACGUAGAACCAUACGAAUAAGUCUCGCGGACGGGGGUUCAAUUCCCCCCAGCUCCACCA